Molecule: long non-coding RNA, 2817 nt
Organism: Oncorhynchus nerka (sockeye salmon)
Lineage: Eukaryota; Metazoa; Chordata; Actinopteri; Salmoniformes; Salmonidae
Exons: 4
Source: RefSeq, a predicted model, not a curated record
CGUGGAAUUAGUAGGGUUCCAAGUAGCUCUAGGUAGCUAGCAGGCCUAGCUGGUUAGCAUAAUGGGCCUUCAGCGGGUGUCGCGCCUGAGGGGCCUGUUGGAGUUCUCGGGCAGAUUAUGUUGGUAUUCCAAUAGUAGGGGAUCUGCGGGGUUCCAUGCCCCGUACAGGUUGUAGAAGGCGUCCGGAUAUUGUAGCCCAGGAGUAUGCUUUGUGGUAGCACAGGAGCUCUGGCCAGGCUAGCUUCAAGCUGGAUGGAAACGCUAGCCUGGAGUAGUCAUCCGGGGUUGCGGUUAGCUAGUUGUGAAGAUCCAGAUGAAAAUGUUCAGUUUGCGGUGGGAAUCCGGGGAUAAAAAUAAUAGGGCCGUUAUGCUCUGGUUAGAGUCACGUUGUUCGAACUGGAGAGAGCUAUUCGAGCUUAACCUCUUCAACCUAUGGGGGCGCUAUGUCAUUAUUGCAUAAAAAAAACAUGCCCGUUUUAAGCGCAAUAUUUUGUCACGAAAAGAUGCUCGACUAUGCAUAUAAUUGGCAGCUUUGGAAAGAAAACACUCUGACGUUUUCAAAACUGCAAAGAUAUUAUCUGUGAGUGCCCCAGAACUCAUGCUACAGGCGAAACCAAGAUGAGACCUCAAACAGGAAAUGAGCUGAAUUUUUGAAGCUCUGUUUUACUAUCGUCUCCUUAUAUGGCUGUGAAUGUGCCGUGAACGAGCUUAUGCUCUCUGCCGUUCGUCCAAGAUGUCUGCAGCAUUGUGACGUAUUUGUAGGCAUAUCAUUGGAAGAUUGGCCAUAAGAGACUACAUUUGCCAGGUGUCCGCCCGGUGUCCUUUGUCUAAAUUGGUGCGCAAUUCUCAGUGGCACUCAUUUUACCAUGCGAUACAGAGGGAGAAGCACACUUCCAGGAACGAUACAUCAUUGAAGAGAUAUGUAGAAAAACACCUUGAGGAUUGAUUCUAAACAACGUUUGCCAUGUUUCAGUUGAUAUUAUAUGGAGUUAUUUUGGAAAAAGUUUUUAUAACUGAAUUUUUUAUUUUUUUUGGUAGCCAAACAUGACGCAGAAAACGGACCGAUUUCUCCUGCACAAAUAAUCUUUCAGGAAAACUGAACAUUUGCUAUCUAACUGAGUCUCCUCAUUGAAAACAUCCGAAGUUCUUCAAAGGGUCUUUGAAAGACAGGCACAUUGAAAAUGGAAGUGAUCUUUAUGCCAUAUUAACACCAAAAGAGAACUUGAAACAAGCUCCCCAAAUGCCACAGCAAGAGAUGACUGACAUCUCAGCAGAGGAUGAUGUUCGAUUCCACAUCAUGCUCGAGAGAUGAACACAGUGGUGUUGGACAAGCUUAGCAAGAUUCUGGAAUCAAUGAGGAGACAACGGUGCACCCUUCUAUGUCCUCCUUCCCAGAUGAGAAAACAGACAACAUGGAAUUCUACUUGAAUGAUGUUGUACCCUCAGUGCACCAAACGCAGAAAGGACUCUGUGCUUUCUUUUCUUCUCUUUAUGCUAUUGUGAGAUUCCACUACGUAUAAUGUCUUGUAACCAUUUAUUAAAACUUCAGAUAUUCGUAUUACCAUGUCCAGGCAGAGGGCUACGGUGCUCCUUUGCUUGUGUCAUUGGCUUUUCAAUGUACCUUGCCCCAUCUUGCAUUCAAUUAUUUCCCCUAAUAUCUCUGCAGAAAGUUAAACAUUCUGGUGAGGGAUUCAAGAAAGUGAAUGAAAACAUUCGAAAGCUCAGUGGAUGUAAUCCUCUGGCGCAACAUUUGUAUCAGCUGUUGGGCAGAAAUGAAAGUGGAGGUUGGACCCAGAAGGUGAUACAUAUUUUGUCACACAACUGUACCUUUCCCAUACAAUAUCAGGCAAAGGACUGACCCGAAAACAAAGAAACUUCUAAGACGAACUGACCUCAAGUCAGACACAACCAUGCAGAAAAUGGUGAUGGAGCAUCCCACAAAGGAAGAUCUGUAGACAAGUGUUUGAAAAUACAACACGGCAUCCAAAAUGCAUUUCUUCCUGCCAUAUGCAUUUUUGGGAGAAACAUGAUGAUGUUACCCAUUGGGUUAUUGAAUGGUAUGAGAUUUUCUAGAGGGCCUUCUUCUAUGCGGAGGUUGUAUCUACCCACUUCAUGGGUAACUAGCUAAGAUUUAUAUUAUGGUAAUUUCCUGUUAAACUAUGUUAUUAAUCAGUAGCAUUUUCUUUAUGUUAAAAUGAGUUGUAUGUCACAGUUGUCAUUAGACCAUUGUGAAAAUCAGAUAUCUAGGAGAUUCCCCAAUAUCUUGAUAUAGUGAUGUGGGCACUUUAAAAUAUGCAAAUUCAGUGAUGUGUGAGAUAAGUCGAGGGCCCACGUUAAUGACGGUGGUGGUGUUUUCAGUAGUUUACUUUAAUGAAACUUUACACGGUGAUUUGAAGAGGCAAUCUGCAGUUCAAACAAUAACAAACAUGACACCCCACCACUGAUAUUGUAAACAGCUGAGGGAUGGUGCUGGAGGUAUGUAACCACUCUCAAAUUCAUAGACAUGCAAAUACUGACCAUCCGUGAUAUCAAAAUCAUAGUUUUAAACAUGUUUGUUUAUGCUUUGUUUGUUUACACUUACAUUGGUUUACAAAAAAAUGGGAGUGAAAAAAGCUUGUAAUUUGGGUUCUGCCAGGGUAUGACAGUUGAACUAAGCACAUGAGACAUUUGUACGUUGUUUUCUUCUAGAAUCAAUGGUUAUAUAGUCAUUCAUUUAAAAGUCAAAAAAUGUAUGUAGCAAUUGCAGAUUGCCCUUUUAAAGAAUGAUAUGAUAUCAAUUUUAAAAAGUGAAGCAUAAACAUGAGUUAUGAUCCUGUU